RNAcentral lists this ribosomal RNA (857 nucleotides) under Latilactobacillus sakei. RNAcentral describes it as "bacterial SSU rRNA". It matches the Rfam family "Bacterial small subunit ribosomal RNA", at positions 90 to 932 of the family's 1533-position model. The record is from RNAcentral. Lineage: Bacteria; Bacillati; Bacillota; Bacilli; Lactobacillales; Lactobacillaceae.
UUGAGUCGGCGGACGGGUGAGUAACACGUGGGUAACCUGCCCUAAAGUGGGGGAUAACAUUUGGAAACAGAUGCUAAUACCGCAUAAAACCUAACACCGCAUGGUGUAGGGUUGAAAGAUGGUUUCGGCUAUCACUUUAGGAUGGACCCGCGGUGCAUUAGUUAGUUGGUGAGGUAAAGGCUCACCAAGACCGUGAUGCAUAGCCGACCUGAGAGGGUAAUCGGCCACACUGGGACUGAGACACGGCCCAGACUCCUACGGGAGGCAGCAGUAGGGAAUCUUCCACAAUGGACGAAAGUCUGAUGGAGCAACGCCGCGUGAGUGAAGAAGGUUUUCGGAUCGUAAAACUCUGUUGUUGGAGAAGAAUGUAUCUGAUAGUAACUGAUCAGGUAGUGACGGUAUCCAACCAGAAAGCCACGGCUAACUACGUGCCAGCAGCCGCGGUAAUACGUAGGUGGCAAGCGUUGUCCGGAUUUAUUGGGCGUAAAGCGAGCGCAGGCGGUUUCUUAAGUCUGAUGUGAAAGCCUUCGGCUCAACCGAAGAAGUGCAUCGGAAACUGGGAAACUUGAGUGCAGAAGAGGACAGUGGAACUCCAUGUGUAGCGGUGAAAUGCGUAGAUAUAUGGAAGAACACCAGUGGCGAAGGCGGCUGUCUGGUCUGUAACUGACGCUGAGGCUCGAAAGCAUGGGUAGCAAACAGGAUUAGAUACCCUGGUAGUCCAUGCCGUAAACGAUGAGUGCUAGGUGUUGGAGGGUUUCCGCCCUUCAGUGCCGCAGCUAACGCAUUAAGCACUCCGCCUGGGGAGUACGACCGCAAGGUUGAAACUCAAAGGAAUUGACGGGGGCCCGCACAAGCGG